RNAcentral lists this long non-coding RNA (3578 nucleotides) under Nicotiana tabacum (common tobacco). Its description in RNAcentral is "long non-coding RNA (NTAB_LNC002621)". Lineage: Eukaryota; Viridiplantae; Streptophyta; Magnoliopsida; Solanales; Solanaceae. The record is from RNAcentral.
GCUAAUUCAGAUGGGAGAAGCUGAAAUUUUCUGCUCCGGUCCCGGUCUCGCGAAGUGACCCUCGCUUCGCGGUCCGAGACUUUUCUAGUUCUUCUGCUCGGGUCCCGGUCUCGCGAAGUUAACCUCGCUUCGUUGUCCGGGACCCGGGCACCAAACUUAUACUUCAUCUAAAUUCUUCCUUUUUUUACUUCACUUUGCAUGAAAACUUUCCAAAUCACUUCCAAUUGACUCCUACACAUAUAAAUAAUAUUAUUAAGCUCGAGUCACAAAUAUUCACACAAAAAUUAACAAGAUCGAGGUAUAAUGCAAGGCAAAUUACAUGCAAAAACAUGAAUUUUUAGCCAAACAUCAGAAUAACCAUGGAUCAUGAAUCGAUUUCUUCAUUCCCUCCAACGAAAAUAUUUUCGUGAUCUCAAUUUCUACCGUUAUAAAGACCAAAUGUCAUUGUAAUGUAACAUACAAUAGGAGCUCUAUAAUAAACUCUCAUGUUUAUGAUUUUCUCAAGGAAAAUUUUAGGAUGACAUCUACAAAAAGAAUGCCAGCACUCAACUUAAUUUAAUAUACACAGACAUAAUAGAAAACAUGUACCAGUGCAAACUUCAGACAUUUGGGUCUGUAAUUAGAGCUGAAAGUUCCUAACAUCAGACAUUGCAUCAGAAGUUAGGCUCGAGCUUCUCCAUGAGUUGUAUUUUGAAGCAUAACAACAACAACAACCCAGUAUAAUUUCACUAGUGGAGUUUGGGGAGAGUAGCGUGUACGCAGAUCUUACCCCUAACCUGGGGUAGAGAGACUCUUUCCGAUAGACUCUCGGCUCCCUCCCUCCAAGAACUCCCCACCUUGCUCUUGGGGUGACUCGAACUCACAACCUCUUGGUUGGAAGUGGAGGGUGCUCACCACUAGAACAACCCACUCUUGUCAGUAUGUUGAAGCAUAACUAUUCUUUUAAAGUAUUCCAGUUAAAGAGAACUACUGAGCAGAAAAAAAUCUAGUACAUGAUUUCUAGUUCAGCAAUAUACAAACAAACCUCAGAAAAAAAAUAAACAUGGAAUCUCGGUUCGGACCUGACCUCUUUUGGGGCAGUGAACUAGGGGUCUUCGAGCCUCAGAUCUACGCACUCGAACUCACAAAUCCAGACCAAAAGAACUCUAUUACGGCUAAAUGCCAAUAUUUUCACUUUAUGCUAAAGCAAAGAACCUAUUUACUGAAAGACUACAACAUCUGUUACUUGUCUCUAACCAAGAAAUUAUAGAAACAUGACCUGCACAAGCACCAGGUGAAUGUCCAAGAACAUCCAGUUGGUAAGAAAGAACUAACCAUCAGCUUACACAAUCUUCAAAAAACAAUUAUCUCUGUAGCAGUGCAAACUUCAGGGUCGAUGCUUAACGUUCACUUGUAGCAAUACCUAAACUUUAGACAUUUAAGUAUGAUCGUUCAUCUCAACUAAAAUGAAGGUUUAGCACUACCACUUGGCAGAGAGAACCUUUACUAUAUUUGCAACAGCAGUAGAAAGUAUGUACAAGCACACAAUUAUUGGUACAGGGGGAAAUUAACAAAUUUUCACUUUAUAGUCUAGAUAAGUAAACCAAUUACAAGAUCUAGCAUUGAUAUUCAAAAAUUAGUUUUAUUAUGAUUGCCUCCUGGAAGAGGACUAUACAGAGUUUCUUUCACAUUUUCAUAAAAUUUCCCACAACCUGAGAAAUUAAUAAACUUAAAACAGCGAGCACUCAUCUUUUCUUGACAAAAAUUGUAUAGAACUCACAAAAGAAAUUAUCCAGCUUAGAAAAGAAUUAGUCUGCAUAUGGUGUGAUUGCGAGACAGAGAAGCUAAUCCAAAAUCUGGUGAAUCUAAUAUCUCCGGUUACCAUUAAUAGAAAUUUAGCAGCGAAAAAAGGAGGAUUUACAUACAGCACCAUGGAGAUCGAAAGACAACUGCCAUGGGUCUGAAGUUCAGCAAUAGCAAGCAAAUUUCAAUCCAUUACAUCUGAAGUUUGCCCGUCGCAGUGCAAACUUUAGACCUCGGGUCUGAAGUUUCAACAACUUCAAACAUACAAAUAUUGAUAUUAGGCUUGCAUAUAAUUGAAGUUUCAACAACUUCAAACCUGCAUGUCUGAAGUUAACUUUGGCAUAUUGCUUGUGCAGUUCGAACUUAAGACAUUUCGGACUGAAUUGCUUGUGUAGUUCAAACUUCAGACAUUUUGGACUGAAGUGAACCUUGGCAGUCCGCAGUACCCAACUUCAGAUCUACAUGUCCGAAGUUAACCUUGGCUUAUUGCUUGUACAGUUCAAACUUCAGACAUUUCGGACUGAAGUUAACCUCAGCAUAUUGCUUGUGCAGUUCCAACUUCAGACAUUUUGGACACCUUGGCAGUCUGCAGUACCCAACUUCAGAUCUGCAUGUCCUAAGUUAACCUUGGCUUAUUGCUUGUGUAGUUCAAACUUCAGACAUUUCGGACUGAAGUUAACCUCAGCAUAUUGCUUGUGCAGUUCGAACUUCAAACAUUUUGGACUGAAGUUAACCUUGCCAGUCCGCAGUACCUAACUUCAGAUCUGUCUGAAGUUAAUUUUGGCAUAUUGCAUGUGCCGUUCGAACUUCAGACAUUUCAGACUGAAGUUAACGUUGGCAGUCGGAUCGACAGUCCCCAACUUCAGAUUUGUAUGUCUGAAAUUAACCUUGGCAUAUUGCUUGUGCGGUUUGGAUUUCACACAUUUCAGACCAAUCCGCAAGACCCAACUUCAAAUCUAUAUGCUUAAAAGUUUGAACUAUCAAGCCUAAGUUCAAACUCAAAUGUAUCAAUAUAGUGGCUAAAAAGAGCUUUUUUAGAGUGAGAUUCUCAAAAAUUAUAUUGAAAUGGAUACUGGAGCGACUUUUACGAAGAGUAUUUCUACGUCCUUCAAGCUUCCAGUAGUUAUUUUUCAACUAUUUAAACUUCUUUCCCCACUGUAACCCAAACAAAAAAAUCGAAAAUCUAUCAACAUUAUCAACUAAAAAUUGAUAGAGAAAUAGAAAUCCUAGCUCAAAAUACUCACCAAAAUGCAACAAGAGUUCGAAGAAUGCUCUUCGUGAAUCAUUACAUCUUCCACCAAAGCUAUUACCUCUUCAUCUCAAGCUUUAGAUCUGAAACCAAUAAUUAAGCAGGAAAGUACACAGAAAAUAAAGAGAACGGAAUGAGAUAUUACAUAAAAAUAAAGAGAACGAUUUAAGUUGAAGAGAAAAUCAUUGAGAACUAAGUGUUGGAUGGAUCUACUGCGUUGAAGGAUGUACAAGUUUUCUUUUUGUUUUUUUUUUGAGCCGAGGUCUUUCGGAAACAGCCUCUCUGCUCCUUCGGGUAGGGGUAAGAUCUGCAUACACACUGCGGACACACUACCCUCCGAUACCCCAUUAAUGGGAUUUUACUGGGUUGUUGUUGUUGUUGUUGUUGUAUUAUAAACUGGGUACUAGUUAAAUAAUGGGAUUUUUACACAAAUAGCCAGUCAUAUUAAUUAUUAAUUUUUCUAGGCAUAUAUAUAGAUUAUACAUUGAUAAUACACAAUUAUACAUAUGUAAUACAUAAAUUAUGUAUAUAUUAUACAUUCACAGGC